RNAcentral lists this ribosomal RNA (478 nucleotides) under uncultured bacterium. Its description in RNAcentral is "bacterial SSU rRNA". It matches the Rfam family "Bacterial small subunit ribosomal RNA", at positions 28 to 507 of the family's 1533-position model. The record is from RNAcentral.
GACGAACGCUGGCGGCGUGCUUAACACAUGCAAGUCGAACGGAGUGCCUAUGAUAGAGACUUCGGUCAAUGGAUUAGGUUACUUAGUGGCGGACUGGUGAGUAACGCGUGAGGAACCUGCCUUUCAGAGGGGGGACAACAGGUUGGAAACGACUGCUAAUACCGCAUGACACAUCGAUGGGGCAUCCCGUUGAUGUCAAAGAUUUAUCGCUGUAAGAUGGACUCGCGUCCGAUUAGCCAGUUGGCGGGGUAACGGCCCACCAAAGCGACGAUCGGUAGCCGGACUGAGAGGUUGAACGGGCCACAUUGGGACUGAGACACGGCCCAGACUCCUACGGGAGGCAGCAGUGGGGAAUAUUGCACAAUGGGGGGAAACCCUGAUGCAGCAACGCCGCGUGAAGGAGACGGUCUUCGGAUUGAAACUUUGUCUGGUGAGAAAAUGACGGUAGCCAAGGAGGAAGCCAACGGCUAACUACGUG